This is an unclassified non-coding RNA of Pteropus vampyrus (large flying fox), 332 nucleotides long. Its record names the gene 7SK. It matches the Rfam family "7SK RNA". From Rfam's summary of the family: 7SK was discovered as an abundant small nuclear RNA in the mid-70s but a possible function has only recently been suggested. Two independent studies have found that 7SK RNA binds the CDK9/cyclin T complex (known as elongation factor P-TEFb). P-TEFb activates transcription by phosphorylating the C-terminal domain of RNA polymerase II. Lineage: Eukaryota; Metazoa; Chordata; Mammalia; Chiroptera; Pteropodidae. The record is from Ensembl.
GGAUGUGAAGGUGAUCAGACUACGACAUAUGUCACCCCAUUGAUUGCCAGGGCUGAUUCGGCUUAUCUGAAUAGCUAGCGGGGGAUCCUCAUCCUCCCUCACCACUACACGUGCAUCCCUCCCAAAACAGCUUGCUCAGCCAAAGAGGACAACUUCCCAGAGAGUAGAGAGUUCAAUUCUUAUGCAAAGGACACAUGAGUAGCUGUGCUCCCCAGCCAGAACCUCUAAACAUGCUCUCAGGGUUCAUUUGUAGGAGAACGUAGGGUGGACAGGCUUCCAAGACUCCAGGCAAAUCCAAAUGAGGCACCACAUGUGGCAGACUGCCUUUCUAC